UGAGUAACACGUAGCUUAUCUACCUCAAAGCGCGGGAUAACGUGUCGAAAGACAGGCUAAUACCGCAUAAGCUCACGGACUGUAGAGGUUUGUGAGAAAAGGCUUCGGUCACUUUGAGAUGAGGCUGCGGCCCAUCAGCUAGUUGGGGUGGUAAAAGCACACCAAGGCGACGACGGGUAGGGGACCUGAGAGGGUGACCCCCCACACUGGGACUGAGACACGGCCCAG
Molecule: ribosomal RNA, 228 nt
Filed under: uncultured bacterium
Lineage: Bacteria
Description: partial 16S ribosomal RNA
Rfam family: Bacterial small subunit ribosomal RNA
Source: RNAcentral